RNA transcript from Gossypium arboreum, 2211 nucleotides. RefSeq lists it as uncharacterized. NCBI's taxonomy places the organism in Eukaryota, Viridiplantae, Streptophyta, Magnoliopsida, Malvales, Malvaceae. The record is from RefSeq and is a predicted model, not a curated record. The transcript has 7 exons.
UUUAUGUUUAAUCUUCUUUUUUUCUCCAUUUUUUCUGGGUUUUAUUUGUGCUUUAAUAUGAAACCUUUUUUUUAGGUUUUUUUAAUGGUUGAUAAAUUUGGUCUGGAUCUGGGAAUUAGGCUUCAAGGUUGUUCUUUUAUAAAUGUUUUUUAUCUGAACUUUAAUGCCCUAUUUUUCUAUUGAAUUUUAAUGUUAGGGUCGUUUAUUGCUAUUUUUUCUAGCAUUUUUGAAUUCUUUGUGCUUUCGAUUUCAAUAUAAGUCUUUUUUGGCUUUGAUUGCGCUGUUGUGGUUAUGAACAGUGUUGUCAAGGGCGCAAGGUGCAUUUUGGGCGCUGGCAUCCUUAUAUUGCCUCAGGUGCAAGGCGCUACAAAAAGCGUUAGCCUGAGUGAAGUGAAGGGCAAUAUGCAUAUGUGUGAGUUUUUGAUGGUUGGAAUCACGAGUUAUGGAUGUAUUUCUAUUGCAUUGGGGUAAUGGCAACAGAAUUUAUCAUAUUCUAUGAGAUUAGUUUACUUAAAAGAUAUGAUACAUUAUCAAUUGACAACGAGAGAGAGCACGUUUGUAGCCAUUCAUACAUGGUCAUGGAUGCAUACAAGCGUGCUCUCUAUCGUUGUCAUGUGAUUUGUACAUGUCUCUCCUGGUGUUUAUUUGCUGCAAUAGCUAGCAGGAGUUUAGACCUAAGUUCACUCCAUCCUUGGAGCAUCUCAUUCUGAAGUCUCAUAAUGAUAAACAUAGCGGUUUACCAGGCAAUGUGUAGAACUGAAGUGAAGAUCAAUCAGUGAAACGUAAUAGGUUAAUUCUACGUCGAAUAACAUGACCCCCAAUCUUGUAUCUUCUUGUUUUGGAAGUGUUGACGAAAGACGUUUGGCAUCUCGUUUAGUAUCUCGUUUAUUAUUGGUCAACAUAAAACCUAAAAAUGUCACUGUUUUCCAAGAAUGCGCUUGUAUUGGAUUGGUAUUGGAGCUCUAUUAGAAAUUUUUUUCUCAUUUCACAUGUGGGGGUUGGCCUGCAUGCCGUAUCUCUCUUGCAUUCGAUGUGCAUGUUUGUUUGCCCUUCAUAGGGUGAUAGCAAUAUGUAUAUAUUAGCCUCUUUUUUAUAGCAAUAUGUAUUUGUUAGCCUUUUUGAGCUCUAAAUAUACUAUAUGCCAUGCUUGAACUGUCGAUGAGUUAGCCUUCCAUAUGUUAAGAGUUUCUGCAUUCGAUAGAUUCAGUUAUUGGUUUUGGCAGUUUUCUUUUUAAGUUCUUGUAUAGCAAUGUGCAUGCUUGUAACAGAGAUGAAUGAUAAUCUAGGACCCCUUCCAAGGUGUCGGGACCACCACUAAAUCCCCCAUCCAACCCUUUCGGGAAUGCAUUUUACAGUGUUGGUUCUGGACUGAGUCGAGGAGGAUUAGGCAAACACGAGUGUAGCGAUUUACAAUUUCUUUUUCCUUUAAAUCCUAACAAUACCAAUUUAGCGAUUCGGAUAGCUCAACAAAAUUCUGAGGUAAAACUAUUGAAGUAAAUCUCCCGAGUAGUUGGUCUGCUUCAAUUAACAGAUAAGCAAGUACUUCUCUGAUCCUCAGUAUUACUUCCAAGUGAUCGAUCAUGCAUGUAUGCAUGUAUGUGGAUCAUUUUAUUGUUUUGUUGCAUCUUUAGGGGCAUUGACAAUUACUGAGCCAGUUGGAGGGCAGCACUCCUAUAAACCUCCCAUUUAUGGCAUUUGCUACGAACUCGGUCCUUACUGGCAUCUCAUUAGGUCCAUCAGGGAAGUAAGUUCGAAUAGUUGUAAUGCUUUAAGAGCUUCAAAUUUGAUCUUUGCAUAAACAUCUUCGACUCUCUAGUUCGUGCCGGGCUCAGUCCAGAGGGGCCGGUUUCUCCAAGUAGUGCUGCUGUAAAGGUAUCAUUGGUUUCAUUAGGGGAAGGAGAUGCCCCAUUGCUUGAGUAAUUGCAUAUGCCGAAUAUUCUUUCGCCGGAUCGUAUUACUUCAUAGUUCUGUGGAUUUGUUUGUGCAUAGGCACCUUCUAAUAGCAGGAGAUUUAUUUAUUAACCCCAAAUUUAAUUUUUCCUUGUCUCAAUCCAAUCUUUUGUGCUUGGAAAUUUUGAUUAAUUAUCUUAUUUUAAUUGUGUUUUACACUUUGUUUCUUUGUUUUGAAAUAAACAAUGAACCCUAAUUUGCUGCAUAAUUAUUUGUUACUUGAAUAAGUGAACAAGAAUGAAGAUAACAAGUUUAUGCAAA